AUAUUUUAAAGCAAAAUUGCCUUCAUAAUAACUUCAAUAUUAAGCUUUAUAAUAAGCUAUUAAAAUA
This 67-nucleotide transfer RNA is filed under the name Cautires sp. UPOL A00057. Its description in RNAcentral is "tRNA-Phe". RNAcentral also lists the same sequence under 1 other name. The record is from RNAcentral. Lineage: Eukaryota; Metazoa; Arthropoda; Insecta; Coleoptera; Lycidae.